RNAcentral lists this ribosomal RNA (492 nucleotides) under Anaplasma ovis. RNAcentral's name for it is "bacterial SSU rRNA". It matches the Rfam family "Bacterial small subunit ribosomal RNA", at positions 114 to 641 of the family's 1533-position model. Lineage: Bacteria; Pseudomonadati; Pseudomonadota; Alphaproteobacteria; Rickettsiales; Anaplasmataceae. The record is from RNAcentral.
UGCAUAGGAAUCUACCUAGUAGUAUAGGAUAGCCACUAGAAAUGGUGGGUAAUACUGUAUAAUCCCUGCGGGGGAAAGAUUUAUCGCUACUAGAUGAGCCUAUGUCAGAUUAGCUAGUUGGUGGGGUAAUGGCCCACCAAGGCUGUGAUCUGUAGCUGGUCUGAGAGGAUGAUCAGCCACACUGGAACUGAGACACGGUCCAGACUCCUACGGGAGGCAGCAGUGGGGAAUAUUGGACAAUGGGCGCAAGCCUGAUCCAGCUAUGCCGCGUGAGUGAGGAAGGCCUUAGGGUUGUAAAACUCUUUCAGUAGGGAAGAUAAUGACGGUACCUACAGAAGAAGUCCCGGCAAACUCCGUGCCAGCAGCCGCGGUAAUACGGAGGGGGCAAGCGUUGUUCGGAAUUAUUGGGCGUAAAGGGCAUGUAGGCGGUUUGGUAAGUUAAAGGUGAAAUACCAGGGCUUAACCCUGGGGCUGCUUUUAAUACUGCAGGAC